Catharus ustulatus (Swainson's thrush) is the source of this 944-nucleotide long non-coding RNA. RefSeq lists it as uncharacterized. The transcript has 3 exons. The record is from RefSeq and is a predicted model, not a curated record. NCBI's taxonomy places the organism in Eukaryota, Metazoa, Chordata, Aves, Passeriformes, Turdidae.
GUCUCUUCAGGUUCCCAUUUCUCCUUGAAAACUGGAGGAGCGUGCUUAGUGCCGAGGUAAUCUCUGUCCUUGCUCUCUUCCAGAAUCUGGAUGUUUACCUAAAGUCAGCUGCAGAAUUUUAAGCCCCUGAGCAGCCACUAGAUGUCAGAAUGUGGAUCUCCCAUCUCCCUGGAGUUCUGCAGAAAACCUUGCAGCCCCAUGCUCUGGGUGAGCCGUGCACAGAGGGUGCUGCAGGAGCAGGAGCCAGCCCUGGGCUCUGGAGUUUGGGAAGCAGCUGCUCACAGGUACCACUGCCACCCCCAGAGGGAAUGUUUGGGGUCAGAGCUUCCAGGCUGGGGCCUCUGAGCUCCUCUCCUCCCAGCAGGGCAAAGGGAAUCUGAAUUUGCUGAAGGAUUGGUUCCUUGGGUGUUACUGUAGUGAAUCUCCUUGGAUGCACAACCUCUGCCUUCAGUGAGGCCUUUUUUGCCUGCACAACAGCCAGAUGGGCGAGCCCUUUUGGCGAUUUUGUGUCUGACAGGAGGGGCUGAGUCCCACAGUGCCCAUGCAGAGGUGCAGGAGAUGCAGAGGGGUGAACUGGGAUGGAAAGCACGGCAGGAUGGGGCUGGCAGAGGCAGCUCUGCAGGUUUGGAUGUUCACAGGGGUGUGUUAUUUGCAGGAAUGCACAGCAGCAGAGGAGGGCUGAACCCCUCCCCUGGGGGCAGUGAGCAGCCCCUACACCCGGGACAGAGCUGGUGGCACUUGGGGACACUCAGAACACCCAGCACAGAGCUGUAGGAUGGUGUCACUCCUUUCCUUUUGCUCCCUUUUGGGGAUUCUUGGAACACGCAGCACAGAGCGGUAGGAUGGUGGCACUUGGCUCCUUGUGGGCCCUUUUGGGGACGCUCAGAACACCCAGCACAGAGCUGUAGGAUGGUGUCACUCCUCUCCUUUGGCUCCCUUUUGGG